CGGGAGGCCGGUGGGGGUUCCUGGUGUUACUGGUGGUGUUACUGGUGGUGUUACUGGUGUUGUUACUGGUGUUACUGGUGUUACUGGUGCAGGCCGGGAGCUGGGUGCGGGGCAGCGCUGGGCUCUGGCCGCGGCCGUGGCCCUGCCGGGAUUUUGGAUCGGGGGAGCGGGGGCGGCCGUGCUCUGGGUGCUGGGUGAGUGCCCCACGGACCCUAUGGACCCUACAGAGACCCUAUAGAGACCCUAUAGAGACCCUAUAGAUCCUAUAGAGACCCUAAAGACCCCAUGGAGACCCUAUAGAAUCUAUUGAUCCCCUAUAGAUAACCUAUGGACCCUAUAGAGACCCUAUAGACCCUGUAGAGACCCUAUAGAGACCUAUAGAUCCUAUGGACCCUAUAGAGACUCUAUGGACCCUAUAGAGACCCUAUAGACCCUAUAGAAUCUAUUGAUCCCCUAUAGAACCCUAUGGACCCCUAUAGAGACCCUAUAGAGACCCUAUAGAGACCCUAUAGAUCCUAUGGACCCUAUAGACCCUAUAGAGAUCCUAUAGAACCCUAUGGAGACCCUAUAGAACCCUAUGGACCCCUAUAGAGCCCUAUAAGAGACCCUAUAGAGACCCUAUAGAACCCUAUGGAGACCCUAUAGAUAAGCUAUGGACCCUAUAGAGACCCUAUGGACCCUAUAGAUCCCUUAGAGACCCUAUAGAACCCUAUGGACCCCUAUAGACCCUAUAGAUCCUAUAGAGACCCUAUAGAACCCUAUGGACCCUAUAGAAUUUAUAGAGACCCUAUAGAACCCUAUGGAGACCCUAUAGAACCCUAUAGAUCCUAUAGAUAACCUAUGGACCCUAUAGAGACCCUGAAGAGACCGUGUGGACCCCUAUAGAGACCCUAUAGAAACCCUAUGGACACCUAUAGAGCCCUACGGAGACCCUAUAGAUAACCUAUGGACCCUGUAGAGACCCCAUAGACCCCUAUAGAGACCCUACAGAGACCCUAUAGAGACUCUAUGGACCCUAUAAAGCCCAUAUAGAUCCCCUAUGGAUACCCUAUAGAACCCUAUGGACCCUAUAGGGACCCUACAGACCCCUAUAGAUCCUUAUAGAGACCCUAUAGAUACCCUUUGGGUCCCUAUAGAUCCACUAUAGUCCCCCCAUGGACCCUAUAGAUCCCCUAUAGGGGCCCUAUAGGUCCUUAUAGAGCCCCUACAGAGCCUAUAGAUCCCCUAUAGAUCCCUAUGGAUCCCCUAUAGAUCCCCCCA
This 1260-nucleotide long non-coding RNA is filed under the name Anas platyrhynchos platyrhynchos (common mallard). Its description in RNAcentral is "lncRNA (ENSAPLG00000025661.1)". Lineage: Eukaryota; Metazoa; Chordata; Aves; Anseriformes; Anatidae. The record is from RNAcentral.